GAUGAAUAACGCAGCGAAAUGCGAUAAGUAAUGUGAAUUGCAGAAUCCAGUGAAUCAUCGAAUCUUUGAACGCACAUUGCGCCCGCCAGCAUUCUGGCGGGCAUGCCUGUUCGAGCGUCAUUUCAACCCUCGACCUCCCCUUGGGGAGGUCGGCGUUGGGGACCGGCAGCACACCGCCGGCCCUGAAAUGGAGUGGCGGCCCGUCUGCGGCGACCUCUGCGUAGUAAUACAGCUCGCACCGGAACCCCGACGCGGCCACGCCGUAAAACACCCAACUUCUGAACGUUGACCUCGAAUCAGGUAGGACUACCCGCUGAACUUAAGCAUAUCAAUAAGCGGAGGA
RNAcentral lists this unclassified non-coding RNA (343 nucleotides) under soil metagenome. Its description in RNAcentral is "partial contains 5.8S ribosomal RNA, internal transcribed spacer 2, and large subunit ribosomal RNA". The stretch from base 1 to 120 matches the Rfam family "5.8S ribosomal RNA", at positions 35 to 154 of the family's 154-position model. The record is from RNAcentral.